RNAcentral lists this ribosomal RNA (465 nucleotides) under uncultured Klebsiella sp. RNAcentral describes it as "bacterial SSU rRNA". It matches the Rfam family "Bacterial small subunit ribosomal RNA", at positions 338 to 795 of the family's 1533-position model. Lineage: Bacteria; Pseudomonadati; Pseudomonadota; Gammaproteobacteria; Enterobacterales; Enterobacteriaceae. The record is from RNAcentral.
CCUACGGGAGGCUGCAGUGGGGAAUAUUGCACAAUGGGCGCAAGCCUGAUGCAGCCAUGCCGCGUGUGUGAAGAAGGCCUUCGGGUUGUAAAGCACUUUCAGCGGGGAGGAAGGCGGUGAGGUUAACAACCUCAUCGAUUGACGUUACCCGCAGAAGAAGCACCGGCUAACUCCGUGCCAGUAGCCGCGGUAAUACGGAGGGUGCAAGCGUUAAUCGGAAUUACUGGGCGUAAAGCGCACGCAGGCGGUCUGUCAAGUCGGAUGUGAAAUCCCCGGGCUCAACCUGGGAACUGCAUUCGAAACUGGCAGGCUAGAGUCUUGUAGAGGGGGGUAGAAUUCCAGGUGUAGCGGUGAAAUGCGUAGAGAUCUGGAGGAAUACCGGUGGCGAAGGCGGCCCCCUGGACAAAGACUGACGCUCAGGUGCGAAAGCGUGGGGAGCAAACAGGAUUAGAUACCCUUGUAGUC